GAUGAACGCUGGCGGCGUGCCUAAUACAUGCAAGUCGAGCGAACAGACGAGGAGCUUGCUCCUCUGACGUUAGCGGCGGACGGGUGAGUAACACGUGGAUAACCUACCUAUAAGACUGGGAUAACUUCGGGAAACCGGAGCUAAUACCGGAUAAUAUAUUGAACCGCAUGGUUCAAUAGUGAAAGACGGUUUUGCUGUCACUUAUAGAUGGAUCCGCGCCGCAUUAGCUAGUUGGUAAGGGAACGGCUUACCAAGGCAACGAUGCGUAGCCGACCUGGGAGGGUGAUCGGCCACACUGGAACUGAGACACGGUCCAGACUCCUACGGGAGGCAGCAGUAGGGAAUCUUCCGCAAUGGGCGAAAGCCUGACGGAGCAACGCCGCGUGAGUGAUGAAGGUCUUCGGAUCGUAAAACUCUGUUAUUAGGGAAGAACAAAUGUGUAAGUAACUAUGCACGUCUUGACGGUACCUAAUCAGAAAGCCACGGCUAACUACGUGCCAGCAGCCGCCGCAG
This 513-nucleotide ribosomal RNA is filed under the name uncultured bacterium. RNAcentral's name for it is "partial 16S ribosomal RNA". It matches the Rfam family "Bacterial small subunit ribosomal RNA", at positions 28 to 523 of the family's 1533-position model. The record is from RNAcentral.